Molecule: long non-coding RNA, 2180 nt
Organism: Musa acuminata AAA Group (dessert banana)
Lineage: Eukaryota; Viridiplantae; Streptophyta; Magnoliopsida; Zingiberales; Musaceae
Exons: 2
Source: RefSeq, a predicted model, not a curated record
GACGAAUUUAGGGCAUCGCUCUUCCGCGUCUAUAAAUACCGUUGUUUCACCGAAGAGCCGCACUCGCCUCGCAGAUCAGCGGCGGAAUUGGCGAAAGCGUCAAUUGAAAACUUUCGUUCUUCCGAGGGUAAAUACGCUGCGGAAAAUUCAUGGAGACCUGAACUGAGGAGACCAAUCUUGUAUGUUCUUUUCGUGCAUUACCAACUUCUAUUUAAAUGCAGAUGACUGUCUUUUUGUUUUCCAUCUUUCUUCAAUCAUCUUACCAUACUGCAGUGUCUAGUGAAUAUUUUCAUUGUUUUUUAAUCGACUGUUGUAGUAAUGUGAUUUGAUCUAUUCCGGUUCAAUCAAUCAUGGGGUCUCUCCAUAUCCAGUCAACUGAUGAAUGCCAUAUUAGGGAGAACACAAACUAAGUUUAGGUUUAGCCUUGUAAAUAGAUACGACAAUCUACCAGUCGAUCUCAAAUGCCCAAAUGCAAACCCAAUCUUGGUUUUAUUUGGUUUGAGUUGUCUAUAAAAAUAGAGAAGACUGUGUCGAUUUGAAUGCCCAUAGGAAAGGAGAUAGAAAACAAGCUGAUCACAUUAGCAUGGUGUGGAGUCGUGCAUUUGAGGAUGAUGCACGAAAGCUCUAUUAAGAAAUAAUGGAGGAGGAGGAGGCUAUUGGUUUGGAGGGAAGCACAAGUUGAGGGAGCAUGAAGAAACAUACAUGAAACUUGUGCUCCACUUUUUCAUGCACUAAUGCAACUUAGAUGAUGGAUUGCUCAGUCUCAGCAUGUUUACUUAAGAUUAAUACUAAAUUGAGGUCAGGUUGGGUGAUGACUACUUGGGUGAUUGGAAUUCUAUCCACAAAAUGGUUCUUUUUCUGGUUCUGGAUCGUUGCAGAAGCUACAUGGUUCAAUUAUGAUUAUCUUUUAUUUGAUUGUGCAUUUGUUUCAAUUUUUUCUUCUCCAAGGAUGAUCAGAACUAUAAUUUUCCUCUGAGGUCAUGUACAAUGUGGAAGAUUCAUGGAGACCUGAACUGAGGAGUAAAACUGUUGUUUUUAUGUUUUAAUGAAUCCUUGUGAAGAUGAUACGAUUAAAGUAGUGGCCUGACAUCAUCUGAUUCUCUCUGUCUUUUGAUUCUGGGGGAUUCCUUCCUUCCAUCUUUGCCUUUGGAAAGUAUCUCAUUUGAUUUAGAAAGAUUAGAAGAUUGAUGGAGACCUGAACUGAGGAGUAAAACUGUUGUUUUUAUGUUUCAAUGAAUCCUUGUAAAGAUGAUACGAUUAAAGUAGUGGCCUGACAUCAUCUGAUUCUCUCUAUCUUUUGAUUCUGGGGGAUUCCUUCCUUCCAUCUUGCCUUUGGAAAGUAUCUCAUUUGAUUUAGAAAGAUUAGAAGAUUGAUGGAGACCUGAACUGAGGAGUAACUGUUGUUUUUAUGUUUUAAUUGAAUCCCUGUGAAGAUGAUAUGAUUAAAGUAGUGGCCUGACAUCAUCUGAUUCUCUCUAUCUUUUAAUUCUGGGGGAUUCGUUCCUUCCAUCUUUGCCUUUGGAAAGUAUCUCAUUUGAUUUAGAAAGAUUAGAAGAUUGAUGGAGACCUGAACUGAGGAGUAACUGUUGUUGUUAUGUUUUAAUUGAAUCCCUGUGAAGAUGAUAUGAUUAAAGUAGUGGCCUGACAUCAUUUGAUUCUCUCUAUCUUUUGAUUCUGGGGGAUUCCUUCCUUCCAUCUUUGCCUUUGGAAAGUAUCUCAUUUGAUUUAGAAAGAUUAAUUGUGAGAUCUGUCUUGUAAACUUCUGACAUGCAAUUCUGACAGUUGUAGGUUUAGGGAUGCUUUCCAUUCCAUUGUAAUAUUUGUUGUCAAAGAGUCUGCUCCUCUCUUUUUGGAAGAUAGAUAGAUCACGAAGGUUGUUUCUGCAUUAGUUUUCUCUUAAACAGUGCUCCCAAUGAUUGAACAGUCUAAAUAGUUUCAGCCUUGCCUGAGUUAUCACUCGAUGCUGAAUUCUUAUACAUGUUCUGAGGGAUCUACCUCUUGUUUACACUUCUCGGACUGGUCAUUUUUUAUGUAUGUUUCUACUUUUAGGGUAUUAUCAGGAAAUGAUGACUGUACGAAGGUUGAUGGUGAUAACCUAUUGAUUUGAUCUCUGCUUUUUUAUCACGUAUAUAUGUCAAAUUUAGAUGAAGGUAUAUUAUUACAUGAGACAUUUACUUUCA